AACGAACGCUGGCGGCAUGCCUAACACAUGCAAGUCGAACGAGACCUUCGGGUCUAGUGGCGCACGGGUGCGUAACGCGUGGGAACCUUCCCUUAGGUUCGGAAUAACCCCCCGAAAGGGGUGCUAAUACCGGAUAAUGUCUUCGGACCAAAGAUCUAUCGCCUUUGGAUGGGCCCGCGUUGGAUUAGCUAGUUGGUAGGGUAAAAGCCUACCAAGGCGACGAUCCAUAGCUGGUCUGAGAGGAUGAUCAGCCACACUGGGACUGAGACACGGCCCAGACUCCUACGGGAGGCAGCAGUGGGGAAUAUUGGACAAUGGGCGAAAGCCUGAUCCAGCAAUGCCGCGUGAGUGAUGAAGGCCUUAGGGUUGUAAAGCUCUUUUACCCGGGAUGAUAAUGACAGUACCGGGAGAAUAAGCUCCGGCUAACUCCGUG
RNAcentral lists this ribosomal RNA (433 nucleotides) under uncultured bacterium. RNAcentral describes it as "partial 16S ribosomal RNA". It matches the Rfam family "Bacterial small subunit ribosomal RNA", at positions 29 to 507 of the family's 1533-position model. The record is from RNAcentral.